This 497-nucleotide ribosomal RNA is filed under the name uncultured bacterium. RNAcentral's name for it is "partial 16S ribosomal RNA". It matches the Rfam family "Bacterial small subunit ribosomal RNA", at positions 28 to 507 of the family's 1533-position model. The record is from RNAcentral.
GAUGAACGCUGGCGGCGUGCCUAAUACAUGCAAGUCGAGCGAACGGACGAGAAGCUUGCUUCUCUGAUGUUAGCGGCGGACGGGUGAGUAACACGUGGAUAACCUACCUAUAAGACUGGGAUAACUUCGGGAAACCGGAGCUAAUACCGGAUAAUAUUUUGAACCGCAUGGUUCAAAAGUGAAAGACGGUCUUGCUGUCACUUAUAGAUGGAUCCGCGCUGCAUUAGCUAGUUGGUAAGGUAACGGCUUACCAAGGCAACGAUGCGUAGCCGACCUGAGAGGAGGAGUAGCCACACGGGAAGUGAGACACGGUCCAGACGCCUACGGGAGGCAGCAGUGGGGAAGAUGGGAGAAUGGUCGAAAGACUGAUACAGUCAGAACGAGUGGGUGAAGAAGGGUUUCGGGUGGUAAAGCCCUUUUGUCGGGAAAGAAAAAAAGAAGGAUAAACACCAGCUGUCCUGACGGUACACAAAGAAUAAGCACCGGCUAACUUCGUG